Non-coding RNA from Paramuricea clavata, 1005 nucleotides. Lineage: Eukaryota; Metazoa; Cnidaria; Anthozoa; Malacalcyonacea; Plexauridae. The record is from the annotation of a GenBank genome assembly.
CUUGUGCAAUCACCAUUCUUGUUAGGAGCAACAAUCCAACAGCAUUUGGAAGUUAUACGCGAAAAAUAUCCGUCGGAAGUUGAAGAGAUAAUGCGAAGCCUCUAUGUUGAUGACAUUAUCUCAGGUGGAGAAACCAGAGACGGUGUACAAAAAUUGAAAGGAACGGUGAAGGAGAUAUUUGGACAGGCGAAAUUUGACCUACACAAAUGGCAUUCUAACGUGUGUGAACUGGAGGAAAACGACGAGCAAACACCUACCGUUCAGAGUUAUGCAAAAGAUCAACUUGGGGUGAAACCAGGUGAAACCAAAAUGCUUGGACUUCCAUGGGAUAAAGUGGAAGACACAAUUUCAAUAUCCUUUCCCCAGAAAACAGCAGCGACUACCAAAAGGGAGAUAUUACGCUUCCUUGCCUCAAUCUACGACCCUCUGGGACUUGCCUCACCCGUCGCACUCGUAGGGAAGCUCAUUUACAGAGAGGUGUGUGAUCAAAAGUUGCCGUGGGAUAAGGAGAUACCUCAACAACUGUCGACUCGUUGGCAGAAGUUUCAGCAAAACCUUCCCGAGAAACUAGAUUUCCCACGAAGCCUGACCAGCCUUGAGGAGCCAAUCGAAGCCGUAGAUCUACAUACGUUCGGAGAUUCCAGCAAAGACGGAACAUCAGCAACUGUGUACGCUGUGGUACAUCAAAAGUCUGGCAUCAGCCAAGGAUUGAUCGCAGCAAAAUCCAGAUUGGCGAAGAAAGAGUUGACCAUCCCGCGACUUGAACUUGUUUCGGCACAUAUGGCAACUAACUUGGUCGAGAAUGCAAGAAAUGCGCUUGGUGGAUACCCUGUCAGAUCAGUCACCGGAUGGUUGGACAGUACAGUGGCCCUGUACUGGAUCAAAGGACAUGGCGCCUACAAGCAAUUUGUUUCAAACAGAGUCAAGAAGAUUAACGCCAAGGAAUAUAUCAAUUGGAGACAUGUGAGAACGGAUGAGAACCCAGCCGACCUGGGAAGCCGAGGA